Molecule: long non-coding RNA, 899 nt
Organism: Pezoporus occidentalis (night parrot)
Lineage: Eukaryota; Metazoa; Chordata; Aves; Psittaciformes; Psittacidae
Exons: 3
Source: RefSeq, a predicted model, not a curated record
CUUUCCUGCAUAAUGAAACACAUGCUUAUGACAAGAGCUAGGAGGAGCUUAUGGAACAGGAGAGAACAGUUUGUCUUUCCAGUGUGGUACAAGGCAGGGGAUUGUGGAAAAUGACAGAUCAUAACCUUGUUCUUUUUUUGGCAUCAGCUGCAGUGGACACUACUCAAAAAGAGCUAUCAAGGUUUCUGCACUUGAGCAUGUUCCUUCCAUGGCUGCUGGUGGUGCUUUCCUGUCUCCCUACAUUACUGGGCUACCUGCUAGGCCUGCUGGGGUCCCAGGACCAAUUCUCUCAGUUGAGGCAGGACAGCACUGGAAGAGAAGAUUUUUACUUGUUCCCAUCUUGACCAUGACAUCAUCCAAAGGCUUAUUUCCAAAUUAGGCACUACUAGUAGCUGGCCUGUAUAUGGACUUGAGUCUCAUUGCGAAGUUAGAGGACCCAGCUGUGGAGAAGAGGGGCAUAUGUUUUCCAAACAGCAGUCAAUCUGGGCUCCAACGAGAGGGCUGCCUUGAGAAGUUCACUGGUAUGAUUAUAUGGUUUCUGAUGUCCAGGUGCAGCUCUUCCUCUAGAUUUAUUAUCCAUGCAGUGUAUAAUUACAACAUGAUUUGGGAAAUGAAGCCCCUGUUGCAUAGUAAAAACACUCAUGAGAUGAUCAUUCUUGUAUAACUACAAGCACUAAAAGCAGCAAAUCCCAUGUGUGAACUCUGAUCACACCUAGCAGGCUGCUGAGAAAGAAACAGGUUGAGAUGCUGAUCUUGCGAGUGCCAGGGUAAAUAGAAUGUCUCCCUGCCUGCUCCAAGGUUUAAACUGGUAGCCUGCUUGAAUUUUGUUACACUCUCUGUGGUUUGUGGUUUAUUGCUUCCCGUGGUUUGUGAAAAGAGACACCGGGACUAACGAGUGA